This is a long non-coding RNA of Magnolia sinica, 647 nucleotides long. RefSeq lists it as uncharacterized. Lineage: Eukaryota; Viridiplantae; Streptophyta; Magnoliopsida; Magnoliales; Magnoliaceae. The record is from RefSeq and is a predicted model, not a curated record. The transcript has 4 exons.
UAUUGGGCAUGAUAAACGAAAUUGUCCUAUAUAUAACCAACUUGAUAAUGCAUCUGAAGAAGCCAGGUAUAUAUUUUUUCCCUGUUUUUUUAUUUGAUUUCUUACAUACAUUGCAUUAUUUUAAACAAAAUUCAUUAUCUCCACAGUUAUGGCACUAACAUUGAAAGAGGAAAGGGAAAAGCAGUUGGUAGGCCAAGAGGAAAAAAUAUAGUACAGGGUCGUGGUAGGAUGUUAAAUCAAGAUUGAUCGGUACCAAAGGCAUGAUGUCUUAAAUGUCUACAAGCUUGCGCCAUCAGCUACAUGAAUAACUUGAAAUUGUUUACUAAGAAGAUACCUAUUAUAGAUCACAGAAGAUUGAAGCAUCCACUACUCUUAAUGUCGACGAUGUGGAUUGAUUUCAUUUUCAUGGCAAUAAUGAACCCACUGCUUGUUGCACUCUUUGCUUCUAAUUCGAUGCAUUGUGGCUUGAUAGAAGGUGGAAAGCUAGUGAUUGCAUGAUGAUUAUAUGGGCAUAUUACAGUCCUUGUGAAAUGCUCGAUGAUUGGCUUCUAAUUCAACGUUGUGUGACUUACAAUAGGUGGGAAACUAGAGGUUGUAUGUUGAACAUAUGGGAAUAUGAUUAAAUGAAAUGAUCGAUGUUUGGCUUA